CCAAUAGCGUAUAUUAAAGUUGUUGCAGUUAAAAAGCUCGUAGUUGAAUUUCGGGAUCAGUUCGCUGGUCGUGCCUCUGGUAUGUACUGGUGUUACUGGUUCCUCCCUUCUGAAGAACCAUCAUGUCAUUAAUUUGGUGUGGCGGGAAAUCAGGACUGUUACUUUGAAAAAAUUAGAGUGUUUAAAGCAGGCUCGCGCUUGAAUACAUUAGCAUGGAAUAAUGAAAUAGGACGUUUGAUCCUAUUUUGUUGGUUUCUAGGAUUGACGUAAUGAUUAAUAGGUAUAGUUGGGGGCAUUAGUAUUCAAUUGUCAGAGGUGAAAUUCUUGGAUUUAUUGAAGACUAACUACUGCGAAAGCAUUUGCCAAGGAUGUUUUCAUUAAUCAAGAACGAAAGUUAGGGGAUCGAAGACGAUCAGAUACCGUCGUAGUCUUAACCAUAAACUAUGCCGACUAGGGAGCGGAUGAUGUUAAUUUUUUAAUGACUCAUUCGGCGCCUUACG
This 500-nucleotide ribosomal RNA is filed under the name uncultured Glomeromycotina. RNAcentral's name for it is "partial small subunit ribosomal RNA". It matches the Rfam family "Eukaryotic small subunit ribosomal RNA", at positions 591 to 1092 of the family's 1831-position model. The record is from RNAcentral. Lineage: Eukaryota; Fungi; Glomeromycota.